GACGAACGCUGGCGGCGUGCCUAAUACAUGCAAGUAGAACGCUGAAGGAAGGAGCUUGCUCUUUCUGGAUGAGUUGCGAACGGGUGAGUAACGCGUAGGUAACCUGCCUGGUAGCGGGGGAUAACUAUUGGAAACGAUAGCUAAUACCGCAUAAAAUUGAUUAUUGCAUGAUUGUCAAUUAAAAGGUGCAACUGCACCACUACCAGAUGGACCUGCGUUGUAUUAGCUAGUUGGUGGGGUAACGGCUCACCAAGGCGACGAUACAUAGCCGACCUGAGAGGGUGAUCGGCCACACUGGGACUGAGACACGGCCCAGACUCCUACGGGAGGCAGCAGUAGGGAAUCUUCGGCAAUGGACGGAAGUCUGACCGAGCAACGCCGCGUGAGUGAAGAAGGUUUUCGGAUCGUAAAGCUCUGUUGUAAGAGAAGAACGAGGGUGAGAGUGGAAAGUUCACACUGUGACGGUAUCUUACCAGAAAGGGACGGCUAACUACGUG
Molecule: ribosomal RNA, 497 nt
Filed under: uncultured bacterium
Lineage: Bacteria
Description: partial 16S ribosomal RNA
Rfam family: Bacterial small subunit ribosomal RNA
Source: RNAcentral